RNAcentral lists this small RNA (373 nucleotides) under Pongo abelii (Sumatran orangutan). Its description in RNAcentral is "retained intron". Lineage: Eukaryota; Metazoa; Chordata; Mammalia; Primates; Hominidae. The record is from RNAcentral.
UCAAAAUGCCUUUUUACAUCCUGGGACACCUUUAGACCAUGGCAUAAGAAAAGACCCAUGUGCAUGACACCCCUGGCUCUGCAGGUAGAUUGGCACACUGCUGUUUCUGGUGGUCUGAGUUCCCCUACCCCAAGCCUUGUGCUGCAUGGAGUCAUCAUCACCGUGACCCUCCCGUUCCACCCUGAACUCAUCAGUCUUUCUCUGUUUCAGGAUAGGAUUUUUGGGCCUUGGUCUCAUGGGAAGUGGAAUCGUCUCCAACUUGCUAAAAAUGGGUCACACAGUGACUGUCUGGAACCGCACUGCAGAGAAAGAGGGGGCCCGUCUGGGAAGAACCCCCGCUGAAGUCGUCUCAACCUGCGACAUCACUUUCGCC